Molecule: ribosomal RNA, 2869 nt
Filed under: Ignavigranum ruoffiae
Lineage: Bacteria; Bacillati; Bacillota; Bacilli; Lactobacillales; Aerococcaceae
Description: 23S ribosomal RNA
Rfam family: Bacterial large subunit ribosomal RNA
Source: RNAcentral
GGUUAAGUAACCAAGGGCGCACGGUGAAUGCCUUGGCACUAGGAGCCGAUGAAGGACGGGACGAACACCGAUAUGCUUCGGGGAGCUGUAAGUAAGCUUUGAUCCGGAGAUUUCCGAAUGGGGGAACCCCACAACUGAAGGUUGUGACACGCAAGUGAGGUAAACGCAGAGAACUGAAACAUCUAAGUACCUGCAGGAAGAGAAAGAAACAUCGAUUCCCUAAGUAGCGGCGAGCGAACGGGGAAGAGCCCAAACCAUGGUGCAUGCACCAUGGGGUAGUAGGACUCCCAUACGGGAGAGGACGCAGUAACCGAAUGACUUGGGAAAGUCAGUCAAAGAGGGUGAGAACCCCGUAGGUGAAACUGUAACCUCCCCGGGAGGAUCCUGAGUACGGCGGGACACGAGGAAUCCCGUCGGAAGCGACCAGGACCAUCUGGUAAGGCUAAAUACUCCCUAGUGACCGAUAGUGAACCAGUACCGUGAGGGAAAGGUGAAAAGCACCCCGGGAGGGGAGUGAAAAGAACCUGAAACCGUGUGCUUACAAGUAGUCAGAGCCCGUUAAGGGGUGAUGGCGUACCUUUUGUAGAAUGGACCGGCGAGUGAUGAUAGUUGGCAAGGUUAAGUUGAAGAAACGGAGCCGUAGCGAAAGCGAGUCUGAAGAGGGCGACAGUCAGGUGUUAUCGACCCGAAACCAAGUGACCUACCCAUGUGCAGGUUGAAGGUGUGGUGAAACACACUGGAGGACCGAACCGAAACACGUUGAAAAGUGUUCGGAUGACGUGUGGGUAGCGGAGAAAUUCCAAUCGAACUUGGAGAUAGCUGGUUCUCUCCGAAAUAUAUUUAGGUAUAGCCUCAAAGUAAGCGUCGUGGAGGUAGAGCACUGUUUGGACUAGGGGGUCUAUCGACUUACUCAAUCCAGAUAAACUCCGAAUGCCAUAGACGUAUCUUUGGGAGUCAGACUGCGAGUGCUAAGAUCCGUAGUCGAAAGGGAAACAGCCCAGCCCACCAGCUAAGGUCCCUAAAUUACUGUUAAGUGGCAAAGGAUGUGGGGUUGCCUAGACAACUAGGAGGUUGGCUCAGAAGCAGCCAUCCUUGAAAGAGUGCGUAAUAGCUCACUAGUCGAGUGACCCUGCGCCGAAAAUGUACCGGGGCUAAACAGUAUACCGAAGCUGUGGAUUCAUCGUAAGAUGAGUGGUAGGAGAGCGUUCUAUAGGCGGCGAAGCGAUACCGUAAGGAGUCGUGGAGCGUAUAGAAGUGAGAAUGCCGGUAUGAGUAGCGCAAGACGGGUGAGAAUCCCGUCCACCGAAUGACUCAGGUUUCCAGGGGAAGGCUCGUCCGCCCUGGGUUAGUCGGGACCUAAGCUGAAGCCGAGUGGUGUAAGCGAUGGCCAACAGGUAGAGAUUCCUGUACUUAUCAUUUGUGAUUGAGUGAUGGAGUGACACAGGAGGUAAUGUUCCGCAUCCGGAUGGAAGAGGAUGUCGAAGCAACGAGGUGGAUGAGGAGUAAAAGGCUUCUCAUUGUAACAUUGAGUUGUGACCGGGAGUGAAAUGAAGUAGCGAAGGGAACUAGCCACACUGUCGAGAAAACCUUCUAGCGAAUAAAUGGUAACCCGUACCGCAAACCGACACAGGUAGUCGAGUGGAGCACACUCAGGUGAUCGAGAGAACUCUCGUUAAGGAACUCGGCAAAAUGACCCCGUAACCUCGGGAGAAGGGGUGCUGACUGACGUCAGCCGCAGUGAAUAGGCCCAAGCGACUGUUUAUCAAAAACACAGGUCUCUGCUAAACCGUAAGGUGAUGUAUAGGGGCUGACGCCUGCCCGGUGCUGGAAGGUUAAGAGGAGCGCUUAGCGCAAGCGAAGGUGCGAAUUGAAGCCCCAGUAAACGGCGGCCGUAACUAUAACGGUCCUAAGGUAGCGAAAUUCCUUGUCGGGUAAGUUCCGACCCGCACGAAAGGCGUAACGAUUUGGGCACUGUCUCAACGAGAGACUCGGUGAAAUUAUAGUACCGGUGAAGAUGCCGGUUACCCGCGACAGGACGGAAAGACCCCAUGGAGCUUUACUGUAGCUUGAUAUUGAGUGUUUGUUGACCAUGUACAGGAUAGGUAGGAGCCAAUGAAGUGUGGACGUUAGUCUACAUGGAGGCGCUGGUGGGAUACUACCCUUGGUGAAUGACCCCUCUAACUCGCGUUAAAGAAACGGAAGACAGUGUCAGGUGGGCAGUUUGACUGGGGCGGUCGCCUCCUAAAGUGUAACGGAGGCGCCCAAAGGUUCCCUCAGAAUGGUUGGAAAUCAUUCGCAGAGUGCAAAGGCAGAAGGGAGCUUGACUGCGAGACAGACAGGUCGAGCAGGGACGAAAGUCGGGCUUAGUGAUCCGGUGGUACCGUAUGGAAGGGCCAUCGCUCAACGGAUAAAAGCUACCCUGGGGAUAACAGGCUUAUCUCCCCCAAGAGUUCACAUCGACGGGGAGGUUUGGCACCUCGAUGUCGGCUCAUCGCAUCCUGGGGCUGAAGUCGGUCCCAAGGGUUGGGCUGUUCGCCCAUUAAAGCGGUACGCGAGCUGGGUUCAGAACGUCGUGAGACAGUUCGGUCCCUAUCCGUCGCGGGCGUUGGAAAUUUGAGAAGAGCUAUCCUUAGUACGAGAGGACCGGGAUGGACGCACCGCUGGUGUACCAGUUGUUCCGCCAGGAGCAUCGCUGGGUAGCUAUGUGCGGGAUGGAUAAGCGCUGAAAGCAUCUAAGUGCGAAGCCAGCUUCAAGAUGAGAUUUCCCAAUUCGUAAGACCCCUGAGAGACGAUCAGGUAGAUAGGCUAGGAGUGGACGUACAGUGAUGUAUGGAGCGGACUAGUACUAAUCGGUCGAGGACUUAACCAC